RNAcentral lists this long non-coding RNA (503 nucleotides) under Gallus gallus (chicken). RNAcentral describes it as "lncRNA (ENSGALG00010007349.1)". The record is from RNAcentral. Lineage: Eukaryota; Metazoa; Chordata; Aves; Galliformes; Phasianidae.
UGCUUUUCAGUUAAAGUGGAGUUUUCUUGUUUGUUAGGGUGACUUCAGGUGAUGGACCGGCAAGGAGGAAUUCAAACACACUGUGAUCAUCGUUGGCAAGGAAUUAAAGGAGUCCACCAACUCAGCCUCAGAAUGAAGACAAUACUUCUUCAUUUCAGACUCAGCAAAGCAUAUUUCAGACUCAGUCUUUUAUGCUGGAAGCUCACGGAUCAGCCUCCUCAUGCUGCCCUGCCUACCAGCUUGUCUGGAAACCUCCUUCUGCUGCACUGCAAUUAAGCACAGAACUUUUUCUCAUGCUCAAGAUUAUAAUGCACCUCCUGGGUAAGGAAAGCCCCACUGUGCUGCCAGGACUUUCACGGAAGCUGAACGAGGGACAUCAAUUAUGAAUACGACUCUCACCAAGGCUGUCACCAGCUUUUCACCGGGGUCAGAUAAUGCUUUAAGCUGUGCUCCAUGUGCAGAGAUCUCCUGAUAUCAGGAGCUGGCCUAUGGUGCUCCUCCAC